RNAcentral lists this ribosomal RNA (468 nucleotides) under uncultured bacterium. RNAcentral's name for it is "partial 16S ribosomal RNA". It matches the Rfam family "Bacterial small subunit ribosomal RNA", at positions 28 to 507 of the family's 1533-position model. The record is from RNAcentral.
GAUGAACGCUGGCGGCGUGCUUAACACAUGCAAGUCGAACGGAAAGGCCCAAGCUUGCUUGGGUACUCGAGUGGCGAACGGGUGAGUAACACGUGGGUGAUCUGCCCUGCACUUCGGGAUAAGCCUGGGAAACUGGGUCUAAUACCGGAUAGGACGAUGGUUUGGAUGCCAUUGUGGAAAGUUUUUUCGGUGUGGGAUGAGCUCGCGGCCUAUCAGCUUGUUGGUGGGGUAAUGGCCUACCAAGGCGUCGACGGGUAGCCGGCCUGAGAGGGUGUACGGCCGCAUUGGAACUGAGAGACGGCCCAGACUCCUACGGGAGGCAGCAGUGGGGAAUAUUGGACAAUGGGCGCAAGCCUGAGGCAGCGACGCCGCGUGGGGGAUGACGGCCUUCGGGUUGUAAACUCCUUUCGCUAGGGACGAAGCGUUUUUGUGACGGUACCUGGAGAAGAAGCACCGGCUAACUACGUG